CGCCUUUAGCUAACACAGGUAUUAAAGGUCUCGCCUGCCCAGUGAGCUUCAACUUUAACGGCCGCGGUACCCUAACCGUGCAAAGGUAGCGUAAUCACUUGUCUUCUAAAUAAAGACCCGUAUGAAUGGCUAAAUAAGAACGAACCUGUCUCCUGCAACUAGUCAAUGAAACUGAUCUCCCAGUACAAAAGCUGGUAUACAAUCAUAAGACGAGAAGACCCCGUGGAGCUUUAAAGAUAAUACUACGCCUCACAACCCUAAGCCCCCGAUAGUAAAAACUUUCAGUUGGGGCGACUGCGGGGCAAAACAAAACCCCCAUGAACCAGGGGUUACCCCCCCCCUCCAAGGCCAACAAGCCAACGACUAAAUCAACUGACCCAGCACAUCCCUGAUCAUCGAACCCAGUUACCCCGGGGAUAACAGCGCCAUCCUCCUCAAGAGUCCCUAUCGCCAAGAGGGUUUACGACCUCGAUGUUGGAUCAGGACCCCCCAUUGGUGCAGCCGCCAAUAAAGGUGCGUUUGUUCAACGCUUAAAGUCCU
This 540-nucleotide ribosomal RNA is filed under the name Gehyra mutilata (stump-toed gecko). Its description in RNAcentral is "partial 16S ribosomal RNA". It matches the Rfam family "Bacterial large subunit ribosomal RNA", at positions 1816 to 2597 of the family's 2925-position model. The record is from RNAcentral. Lineage: Eukaryota; Metazoa; Chordata; Lepidosauria; Squamata; Gekkonidae.